AGAACACCAGCUGAGAGCUGACAGGAGUACCUGACCAGAGGAAAAUAAUAAAUAGAACCACAAAACUCGGUAGGGUGAAGGAACUAGGGGUGGGGGGAACAGGAAUGGUAAUAGGCCUGGACCUGCCCUCGGUGGGUGGGAGAACUAUAAGUUGGUGUCCGACCCCCCACCUGGGAUCAACUGUCUGGAUCAGAGGAGAACUAUUUUAGGCUGAGAGUGAAACAGUUGAUCUGUGGGAGCCUAAAUGGAAUGAGAAUCAGACAGUCCUUGCCACAGUCAUACACACCCCAGACAGGGACACAGGUCCCAUAGAAGGGACAGCAGUUGGGAUCUGGAUUUUUCGGAUUGUGGAGCAAUCCCAGGGCAAGGGCUGCUAUUGACUGCAGAGAGAUGGACUGAUGGGAUGUGAGGAAGGAGAUCGGGAUGGGAAAUGCUUGUGGAGGAACACCAGGCCCCAUGGAAGCAAGGGGAUCCUACUGGGUCAAUCAUAGUAGGUGGAGCCAUCACCAUAGUCUCUUUCUCCCCAUACACCAGCAUAGGCAGCUGAACAAUAGAGAGGCUGGCCAAUCAAGUGCCUGACUUACUGAUCUGCAGACUAGGACCCCACCCAGGGGCCCCAUCUAUGUACCUGAUGCUCCAAACAACAGAGAAGUACCCCAGGUAAGGGAGCCCUCUAAGUGCCUGAAAGAGUGGAGCUAUGGAGGAAGAGUGGCAAAAGAGGCCUCCUUAUCACCAGCUACAAGAGGCUGGUGAAAAGACUCUGAUAGGGUCAAAACUUCUGCGGCAGAGGAGGUCAUUGUCCCUGCACAGUUAUCGCUACCAUGGUCCCCAGAGAUCAAGAAGCUAUGCCAAGUUCAUGCUCAAUGCUCGCUGGGGCGGAGCUGCUACAGGCCAAAAAAGUCUUGUGUCUAUGGAUACCUGGUCACUUCAGUUCAGUUCAGUUCAGUUCAGUUCAGU
This 957-nucleotide small RNA is filed under the name Bos taurus (domestic cattle). The record is from RNAcentral. Lineage: Eukaryota; Metazoa; Chordata; Mammalia; Artiodactyla; Bovidae.